RNAcentral lists this unclassified non-coding RNA (469 nucleotides) under Melitaea cinxia (Glanville fritillary). RNAcentral's name for it is "misc RNA ENSMCXG00005016008.1". Lineage: Eukaryota; Metazoa; Arthropoda; Insecta; Lepidoptera; Nymphalidae. The record is from RNAcentral.
UGCUACGUGUUAAAAAAUUGUUCGUUGGGUUAGAGAGUCACCCACAACUCCUAACACGAGACACAAGAGAGAGAGUAAAAAAAAAUCCUACAGAAUCUUAAUUUUUUUUUUUCAAAACACACAAAAUCACCUUACACUAAAGCAAAACUGAAACCUAUAAGAACUACAAUGACUCACCCACAAUUAAUUGCACUCAGAUCCCAUGACGGCGAGAGAAACCAACCCAAAAAAAAGAAAAGAGCAAAAAGGGGCCCGCAACACACGUCCUGAGCCUUAUAUACAGCAAACCCAGUGUGUCGCGACACAACUACCCCCUAAGAUCCCAUGACGGCGAGAGAAACCAACCCAAAAAAAAGAAAAGAGCAAAAAGGGGCCCGCAACACACGUCCUGAGCCUUAUAUACAGCAAACCCAGUGUGUCGCGACACAACUACCCCCUAAGGUGCACCGCAACGUAAUACGAUACGAGG